AGAACGAACGCUGGCGGCAUGCCUAACACAUGCAAGUCGAACGCUCACCGGGCUUCGGUUCGGUGGGAGUGGCGCACGGGUGAGUAGCGCGUGGGAACCUGCCCUGUUGUGGGGGAUAACCGAGGGAAACUUCGGCUAAUACCGCAUGCGCCCGGGGAAACCCGGGGAAAGAUUUAUCGCAGCAGGAGGGCCCGCGUCGGAUUAGGUAGUUGGUGGGGUAACGGCCUACCAAGGCGACGACGGGUAGCC
Molecule: ribosomal RNA, 249 nt
Filed under: uncultured bacterium
Lineage: Bacteria
Description: partial small subunit ribosomal RNA
Rfam family: Bacterial small subunit ribosomal RNA
Source: RNAcentral